This 468-nucleotide ribosomal RNA is filed under the name uncultured bacterium. Its description in RNAcentral is "bacterial SSU rRNA". It matches the Rfam family "Bacterial small subunit ribosomal RNA", at positions 29 to 507 of the family's 1533-position model. The record is from RNAcentral.
AAUGAACGCUGGCGGCGCGCCUAAUACAUGCAAGUCGAGCGAGAAGACGUAGCAAUACGUUUGUAAAGCGGCGAACGGGUGAGGAAUACAUGGGUAACCUACCCUCGAGUGGGGAAUAACUAGCCGAAAGGUUAGCUAAUACCGCGUACGCUUCUUGGACUUCGGUUCAGGGAGGAAAGCGAUGCCGAGGGUAUCGCGCUCUUGGAUGGGCUCAUGUCCUAUCAGCUUGUUGGGAGGUAACGGCUCACCAAGGCUUCGACGGGUAGCUGGUCUGAGAGGACGAUCAGCCGCACUGGCACUGCGACACGGGCCAAACUCCUACGGGAGGCAGCAGUGGGGAAUAUUGGACAAUGGGCGAAAGCCUGAUCCAGCCAUGCCGCGUGAGUGAUGAAGGCCUUAGGGUUGUAAAGCUCUUUUACCCGGGAAGAUAAUGACGGUACCGGGAGAAUAAGCCCGGCUAACUUCGUG